RNAcentral lists this ribosomal RNA (217 nucleotides) under Glomeromycotina sp. RNAcentral describes it as "partial small subunit ribosomal RNA". The stretch from base 41 to 217 matches the Rfam family "Eukaryotic small subunit ribosomal RNA", at positions 686 to 864 of the family's 1831-position model. The record is from RNAcentral. Lineage: Eukaryota; Fungi; Glomeromycota.
GGGGUCAGUAGGUUGGUCGUGCCACCGGUACGUACUGGUCUCACUGAUUCCUCCUUACUGAAGAACCGUAAUGCCAUUAAUUUGGUGUUGCGGGGAAACAGGACUGUUACUUUGAAAAAAUUAGAGUGUUUAAAGCAAGCUAACGCUUGAAUACAUUAGCAUGGAAUAAUGAAAUAGGACGAUCGAUCCUAUUUUGUUGGUUUCUAGGAUUGACGUA